Lycium barbarum (goji berry) is the source of this 85-nucleotide small nucleolar RNA. The record is from RefSeq and is a predicted model, not a curated record. Lineage: Eukaryota; Viridiplantae; Streptophyta; Magnoliopsida; Solanales; Solanaceae.
UGCAGUCAAUGAUGAUUUUUUCCCCAAAUUGCUGAUUGAGUAGUGAUUAAUUUAAAAAGAUCACCAUCUUUCGGCUGAGAUUGCA